GAUAUUAUCACAAGAUGCUGCCUGGUUC
Molecule: small RNA, 28 nt
Filed under: Bombyx mori (domestic silkworm)
Lineage: Eukaryota; Metazoa; Arthropoda; Insecta; Lepidoptera; Bombycidae
Description: ovarian small RNA-16079
Source: RNAcentral